UAAGGGCGUACGGUGGAUGCCUUGGCGAUAUCAGCCGAAGAAGGACGCGGUAAGCUGCGAUAAGCUACGGAGAGGUGCAAGCAACCUGUGACCCGUAGAUUUCCGAAUGGGGGAACCCGGCAGUGGUUAUGCACUGUCACCCAUAGCUUAGACUAUGAGGAGGGCACCUGGGGAACUGAAACAUCUAAUUACCCAGAGGAACAGUAAUCAAACGAGAUUUUCUUAGUAGCGGCGAGCGAACGGGAAAGAGGCCAAACCGGAGCGGGCAACCGCACCGGGGUUGAGGACAGUCAUCAAGUGUAAAUGAGGUAGAAGAAUCGAGCUGGAAAGCUCAGCCGCAGAAGGUGAAAGCCCUGUAAUCGAAACCUUGCAUACAUGGGACUGUAUCCAGAGUACCACGAGACACGUGAAACCUUGUGGGAAGCAGGGGGGACCACCCUCCAAGCCAAAAUACUGAUAUCGACCGAUAGCGCAUAGUACCGUGAGGGAAAGGUGAAAAGAACCCCUGGCGGGGAGUGAAAGAGAACCUGAAACCGUAUGUCUACAAACAGUCGAAGUCUGUAUAUAUAUCAGGACGACGGCGUGCCUAUUGAAGAAUGAACCGACGAGUUACUGUUGCUAGCGAGGUUAAGUGGAAAACAUGGAGCCGCAGCGAAAGCGAGUCUGAACAGGGCGUUUAGUUAGUAAUAGUAGACCCGAAACCGUAGUGAUCUAUCCAUGGCCAGGUUGAAGCACAGGUAAAAUUGUGUGGAGGACCGAACUCGUGAGCGUUGAAAAGCUUUGGGAUGAGUUGUGGAUAGGGGUGAAAUGCCAAUCGAACACGGAGAUAGCUGGUUCUCCCCGAAAUAGCUUUAGGGCUAGCCUCGAGGUAGAGAGUAUAGGCGGUAGAGCACUGAUCGGGCUAGGGGCCAUACCGGUUACCGAACCUAGUCAAACUACGAAUGGCUAUACUUAUACUCGGGAGUCAGACAGUGAAUGAUAAGGUCCAUUGUCAAGAGGGAAACAGCCCAGAACACCGACUAAGGUCCCCAAUGUUACACUAAGUGGCGAAGGAUGUGGAAUUUCCAAAACAACCAGGAUGUUGGCUUAGAAGCAGCCACCAUUUAAAGAGUGCGUAAUAGCUCACUGGUCGAGAGACUCUGCGCCGAAAAUGUCCGGGGCUAAAGUGUAAAACCGAAGUCGUGUCAUAUGCAGCAAUGUAUAUGGGUAGGGGAGCGUUCUCAUCGGGCUGAAGCAGUACCGUAAGGAGUUGUGGACUGAUGAGAAGUGAGAAUGUCGGUAUGAGUAGCGAAAAGAAUGGUGAGAAUCCAUUCCACCGAAAGCCUAAGGGUUCCUGAGCAACGAUCGUCGUCUCAGGGUAAGUCGGGACCUAAGCCGAGGCGGAACAGCGUAGGCGAUGGACAACAGGUUGAAAUUCCUGUACCGGUGUGAAUCGUUUGAUCGAUGGAGUGACACAGUAAGGUAGGUCAGCACGCGAUUGGAAGAGCGUGUUUAAGCAGGUAGGUUGAGCUAUAGGCAAAUCCGUAGCUCUAAAAGCUGAGAUGUGAUGACGAGCGACUAGCAAUAGUCGCGAAGUGAUUGAUCCUACACUGUCGAGAAAAGCUUCUAGGUAGAGACACAUCGCCCGUACCAAAACCGACACAGGUAGGCGGGGAGAGAAUCCUAAGGUGCGCGGGAAAACCCUCGUUAAGGAACUCGGCAAAAUGCCUCCGUAACUUCGGGAAAAGGAGGACUCAUGUAGUGUGAAGAGCAGAAGCGCUUGGAGCAUGAAUGAGUGGCACAAGAGAGGCGCAAGCGACUGUUUACCACAAACACAGGUGCCUGCUAAAGCGAAAGCUGAUGUAUAGGUGCUGACACCUGCCCGGUGCUGGAAGGUUAAGAGGAGGGGUUAGACUUCGGUCGAAGCUCUGAAUUGAAGCCCCAGUAAACGGCGGCCGUAACUAUAACGGUCCUAAGGUAGCGAAAUUCCUUGUC
Molecule: ribosomal RNA, 1974 nt
Filed under: human gut metagenome
Description: bacterial LSU rRNA
Rfam family: Bacterial large subunit ribosomal RNA
Source: RNAcentral